CGAAGAAAAUGGCGGGAAUGUGAUAAUAGUACAGAUCGCUGGCGCAGAGAAAUGAGGAUCUUUUCUUCAACGAAAUGGCGAAGAAGAAGAAAGUUAGGGUUUCUGAAGAAAACAAGGAGGAAGAUCAGAACCAAGAGGAUCUCAAACAGUCUCCGAAGAAAGAGAAGAGCUUGUAUGAGGUGA
Macadamia integrifolia is the source of this 183-nucleotide long non-coding RNA. RefSeq lists it as uncharacterized. Lineage: Eukaryota; Viridiplantae; Streptophyta; Magnoliopsida; Proteales; Proteaceae. The record is from RefSeq and is a predicted model, not a curated record. The transcript is spliced from 2 exons.